AGAACUUGGAGCUUUUCAAGUCCCACAUCACUUGAAACUCUUCACUAAACUCCUUCCAAAAGCUAUAUAAGUAAGCCUAGGGGUUCUUCUUGUACACACCUUUGCAUUGAAUGAAAUUUGAGUUGAAUUGCAAUCUUGCAUUCUUCUUUGAGAUAGAAUUCUGUCUCUAAAGUCCCAAAUUUGGGNAGGCCUUAUCUUGCUCAAGCAAGUGGCGGUCCUCUUCAUGAUGCUUAUCUUGGAAGCUUGUUCAAGUGGCGCAUCUUCAUUUCCUAAGUUUCCCUUCUCUAAUCUUUUCCAAUUUUAAUUUCUUUUCCAUUCUUUUAAAUGUCAUUUAGAAUAUUCUCUCUAGGUAUGCACUUCC
Molecule: long non-coding RNA, 361 nt
Filed under: Vigna radiata
Lineage: Eukaryota; Viridiplantae; Streptophyta; Magnoliopsida; Fabales; Fabaceae
Description: long non-coding RNA (VRAD_LNC014344)
Source: RNAcentral